UGAAAAAACACCUGGCAUUCGGUGUCCUCCAGGGGUUUUCAGCCGCGUAAAAAAGCUUUAGUGUGUCCUGCCCCUUAGUCAGUAUGUCUAAAACAGAAACACUAAAUAUUAAAACGAACAACAGCUUUAAUGUGCGUAUCAACUGUAUUUUAAAACAGCACGUGAGCACAGAAAGUAUAAAAUGCAAAACAGACAAAAUGCAAAUACGCCGCGUCACGAACCUGCCUUUUAUUAUAUGACGACAUUAGGCGACUUCUCAAACAGACUUUGGAUUCUUUCCAUUUCAAAUUUUUGGUAACCAUACAAAACAGCUUCCAAUGUCAAACUCCAAACUUUCAUGAUUUUGUUCUCAUAAGUUGUUUGUCACAUGUGCCUAGGUCUGCAGACAACAGAAGUGCAAAUCUGAUCCGCAGAAGGCACGUAGAUGGCAGUUUUACCAGUGAUGUCAACAAGGUUUUGGACAGCAUGGCUGCUAAAGAAUACUUACAAUGGGUGAUGAACUCAAAGGCAAUGGGGGCGAGUGGCAAACGGGACGGGAAUUGAUAAAGAACCAAUGGACUUCCCUAUAACAGCUUAAAACUGGAUCCUGUUGGCCUUCAGUCAUCAAAUGAAUGAAAGCCAUAUCGCUUAAAGCCAAAACUCUGGAAAUCUAAAGCCAUAUUACUAUAAUAUAUAUUUUUCUUUUUUAUUUAUUUAUUUAUUUUACAUUUAAGCACUGAAGUCAUUAUUAUUUAUUCUCCUGUGACUUAAAAACAUCAUGUACCCUAAGUUAUAAGAAAAAUUGAUAUUUUUUUAAGGUUUUUCUAUGUGUGCGAUAUUAAAGGAACAUCAGGUUAACUCACGUGAAUGCAUUAAAAACUCAGGAAAAACUGAAAAUGUAUUUGUGUCACAACUGUAUCAAAGUGUCGUGUUAAACGGUGUCCUGCUCUGCUAAAUAAACGUUUUCAUAUUCAUCCCGA
Paramisgurnus dabryanus is the source of this 959-nucleotide long non-coding RNA. RefSeq lists it as uncharacterized. NCBI's taxonomy places the organism in Eukaryota, Metazoa, Chordata, Actinopteri, Cypriniformes, Cobitidae. The record is from RefSeq and is a predicted model, not a curated record.